Molecule: non-coding RNA, 79 nt
Organism: Phthorimaea operculella (potato tuberworm)
Lineage: Eukaryota; Metazoa; Arthropoda; Insecta; Lepidoptera; Gelechiidae
Source: the annotation of a GenBank genome assembly
ACCGCGGUAGCCCAGUUGGUAGUGGCGUCGGCAGUACAGAUGAUGCCGAAGGUCGUAGGUUCAAAUCCUGCCUGUUGUG